This 802-nucleotide ribosomal RNA is filed under the name Microbacterium oleivorans. RNAcentral's name for it is "bacterial SSU rRNA". It matches the Rfam family "Bacterial small subunit ribosomal RNA", at positions 85 to 898 of the family's 1533-position model. The record is from RNAcentral. Lineage: Bacteria; Bacillati; Actinomycetota; Actinomycetes; Micrococcales; Microbacteriaceae.
UGGUGGAUCAGUGGCGAACGGGUGAGUAACACGUGAGCAACCUGCCCUUGACUCUGGGAUAAGCGCUGGAAACGGCGUCUAAUACUGGAUAUGAACUGCGGAGGCAUCUUCGGCAGUUGGAAAGAUUUUUCGGUCUGGGAUGGGCUCGCGGCCUAUCAGCUUGUUGGUGAGGUAAUGGCUCACCAAGGCGUCGACGGGUAGCCGGCCUGAGAGGGUGACCGGCCACACUGGGACUGAGACACGGCCCAGACUCCUACGGGAGGCAGCAGUGGGGAAUAUUGCACAAUGGGCGGAAGCCUGAUGCAGCAACGCCGCGUGAGGGAUGACGGCCUUCGGGUUGUAAACCUCUUUUAGCAGGGAAGAAGCGAGAGUGACGGUACCUGCAGAAAAAGCGCCGGCUAACUACGUGCCAGCAGCCGCGGUAAUACGUAGGGCGCAAGCGUUAUCCGGAAUUAUUGGGCGUAAAGAGCUCGUAGGCGGUUUGUCGCGUCUGCUGUGAAAUCCCGAGGCUCAACCUCGGGUCUGCAGUGGGUACGGGCAGACUAGAGUGCGGUAGGGGAGAUUGGAAUUCCUGGUGUAGCGGUGGAAUGCGCAGAUAUCAGGAGGAACACCGAUGGCGAAGGCAGAUCUCUGGGCCGUUACUGACGCUGAGGAGCGAAAGGGUGGGGAGCAAACAGGCUUAGAUACCCUGGUAGUCCACCCCGUAAACGUUGGGAACUAGUUGUGGGGACCAUUCCACGGUUUCCGUGACGCAGCUAACGCAUUAAGUUCCCCGCCUGGGGAGUACGGCCGCAAGGCUAAA